GAGUUUGAUCCUGGCUCAGAUUGAACGCUGGCGGCAGGCCUAACACAUGCAAGUCGGGCGGUAGAGAGAAGCUUGCUUCUCUUGAGAGCGGCGGACGGGUGAGUAAUGCCUAGGAAUCUGCCUGGUAGUGGGGGAUAACGCUCGGAAACGGACGCUAAUACCGCAUACGUCCUACGGGAGAAAGCAGGGGACCUUCGGGCCUUGCGCUAUCAGAUGAGCCUAGGUCGGAUUAGCUAGUUGGUGAGGUAAUGGCUCACCAAGGCGACGAUCCGUAACUGGUCUGAGAGGAUGAUCAGUCACACUGGAACUGAGACACGGUCCAGACUCCUACGGGAGGCAGCAGUGGGGAAUAUUGGACAAUGGGCGAAAGCCUGAUCCAGCCAUGCCGCGUGUGUGAAGAAGGUCUUCGGAUUGUAAAGCACUUUAAGUUGGGAGGAAGGGCAGUAAAUUAAUACUUUGCUGUUUUGACGUUACCGACAGAAUAAGACACCGGCUAACUCUGUGCCAGCAGCCGG
RNAcentral lists this ribosomal RNA (515 nucleotides) under uncultured bacterium. RNAcentral's name for it is "bacterial SSU rRNA". It matches the Rfam family "Bacterial small subunit ribosomal RNA", at positions 9 to 518 of the family's 1533-position model. The record is from RNAcentral.